Molecule: long non-coding RNA, 524 nt
Filed under: Mus musculus (house mouse)
Lineage: Eukaryota; Metazoa; Chordata; Mammalia; Rodentia; Muridae
Description: predicted gene, 47544
Source: RNAcentral
CCUGAGAGUCAGGAGGUAGGGACUGUAUGAUGAGGAAGGCACACAGUUUGUUCUGUACAGGAUUUUUUUAGAAGCCCUCCUUCAUCGUGUGGAUGGCUCAGUUCCUUAUCUGGAUUCAGAGUUCUCUAAGGAAAUAGGGGCUCUGCCCGGUCCCAUCACUGGACCCACCAGCAGGACCACUGGCAGGGACGUACACACUCCAUCACAUGUUCUCUGCAUCAUGCUCUCCUCCUGCUCCCUUCCAACAAAAGCUCUCAUGACAACCCUGGGGAGACAGGAGUUCCUCUCCAUGGACCAACUGUAACAGCCAGCACCAGGCUGCGAGAAUUAACAGGAGCCCAACUCCAGUCACCAAGCGUUCUGCGUAAGGGUGGAAGAGCUCUUUGACUCGGUCGGUAUGGUGCAGCACUCGACUCUGCAUGUCCUGCAGCAGGUUCAGCGCCUCGUCCACGCCCCCCAGGAGCUGAGCCUUGGUGUCUUCUCCCACCACGCGCAGCUGCUCCUGCAGCUCCUGCACACUCAGG